Regulatory RNA element from Duganella sp. Leaf126, 100 nucleotides. It matches the Rfam family "traJ-II RNA". The record is from Rfam. Lineage: Bacteria; Pseudomonadati; Pseudomonadota; Betaproteobacteria; Burkholderiales; Oxalobacteraceae.
GGGCAGGAUAGGUGAUGUGGGCCUACACGUGAACGUGUAUUCCUCCAUCACAACUCCUUAUUCGCACUUCGUGCUCAACGGAAACCUGAUCUGCCAGGCC